This 76-nucleotide transfer RNA is filed under the name Shewanella putrefaciens. Its description in RNAcentral is "tRNA-Val". Lineage: Bacteria; Pseudomonadati; Pseudomonadota; Gammaproteobacteria; Alteromonadales; Shewanellaceae. The record is from RNAcentral.
UGAAAAUCGAUGGUUGUUUUAUCAAAAACUUAGCCGUAAACGCUAAAGAUUACGCCAUUGUUAAAUCGAUUCAGGA